This 408-nucleotide ribosomal RNA is filed under the name uncultured bacterium. RNAcentral's name for it is "bacterial SSU rRNA". It matches the Rfam family "Bacterial small subunit ribosomal RNA", at positions 28 to 437 of the family's 1533-position model. The record is from RNAcentral.
GACGAACGCUGGCGGCGUGCAUAACACAUGCAAGUCAAGGGGGUCAGUAGCAAUACUGGCAACCGGCGAACGGGUGCGUAACACGUAAGCGACCUACCUCGAUGUGGGGCAUAGCCGGCCUAACGGCCGGGUAAUUCCGCAUAAGAUCCCGAUGAGGCAUCUCAUUGGGAUGAAACCAGUAAUGGGCGUCGAGAGGGGCGUUNCGGCCUAUCAGCUAGUUGGUGAGGAACGGCUCACCAAGGCUACGACGGGUAGCUGGUCUGAGAGGAUGGCCAGCCACAUUGGGGACUGAGAUACGGCCCAGACUCCUACGGGGAGGCAGCAGUGGGGAAUCUUGCGCAAUGGCCUAACGGCUGACGCAGCGACGCCGCGUGAGGGAUGAAGCUUUUCGGAGUGUAAACCUCUGUU